CAUCAAAUGCCCAGCCUUUUCUUAGAACUCCUUCCCAUCCUCUUUGACAUCCAAGGAACAUGAUCGAAUGUUAUAAUCUGAACUUUCAGUUUUAAUAUUCAAUUUUUUCAUACAGCUGAGCUAUGAUAUUCCAAUAGAGUAAUAGUCUAAUAGACAAUGAAAAGAUUUCGACUUGUGUCAAAAGACAAGACCCAAAACUCUGCAGCUUUCUUGUUUCCAUGCCUUCGUCCUUUCCAAAUCGAACCUUGAUCGAUACAGGGAAGGGAGAGAGGAAGAGGAGAAGAAAGAAGAGAAGAGAGAAGUAUGGAACUCCGCAGAGUGCGGGAUUAGAGAGAGUCAUCAACUUCUCCCUCACUCAAAAGGUUAAGCUUUUACUUGAGCUCAACACCAAUUCAAGGAUUUAAUCAUGGUUUUGUCUCUUAUAUAUAUUCAUCAAACCCACUUGAAAGACGACAUCUUGGACCGAAUUUCAGCCACAAAACAUAUUUCAGCUGCUUCUUCUUGCUCAGCUCGCUGCGGUUCCUCAAAGAGUGUUGUUGUGCUAGUAGGAGGUUGGGUUUGAGGAAAGAGAAUAAAUUGACGAAUAAGAAGAAAAAAAAUAAAGAAGACCACAUAUAAGAAGAUAUAAAGGGCCAAAGUACUAGAUCAUCCUUUGAGGAAUGAAUAAUUACAUGAGCUUGACGGUGUUACUGACACCUAGGCCUCAUCAUGGCCGGGUUAGAGCCGGCCCUACCCUAAAUUUUAAAGCUUAGGGUAGAGUCGAGUAGGGUUUUGACUUGGUCAAUAAAAUUUAAGGCCGGGUAGGGUCGGGCUGAGGCUCAAAUAUGUAAGUUUUUACCCGCCCUUAAAAGCCAUUUGACUACCCGGCCCUUUGAAUAGGGCUAAAUAGGACCGAAAUGGCCGAAUAUGACGUUAUUUUGUUUAAUGAAAUAAAUUCAUGAGUUUUAAUAUUUUUUUUUCUCAAAUAUUACCUCAAGGAUAUAUGUGAUACAAGACCCUAUUUUUAGUCAUUUUUUACAUACAUAUACAUUAUAUUUAACUCAAGACAUCUAGAAUUAUUAAUCUAAGUAGUUAUAUUUAUAUAUUUCAUUAACUAUCUCUCUAAAUCACCAAAAAUCAAUUGUUAUUUAACAAAAAAAAUACAAAUUAAAAAAAUAAAACUUAUAAGAUUAGUUGUAUUGUAUAAAAAAUAAGAAACAUAUUAAAAAUAAUAGAAAAUAAGUAAGUAUUAGGACCUAAAGGGCGAGCUUUUAAGGCCGGACUUAGCCCUAAAGGGCUCAAUAGGGUAGGGCCGGAGGGUAAGGCCGGGUUUCAUUUGGUAGACCCUUGUCCUACCCUAAUUGAAAAGGGCUAGGGCCGGGUAGGGCUUCGGCCCUAUAGGGUAGGGCGGGUUUUAGGGCGGGCUAGGGUCAAAAGGCCAAAUGAUGAGGCCUACUGACACCAUGUAUUAAACUUGGGUCGGAAAUUGAAACUCAUGUAUUGUUUUGAUAUUUCUGAAAGUUGAUGUACCAAAAUUCGGAGUGGCAUGUUUCUCAUAUACUAUUGUUGAAAUUUGCCCUAUAUGUAAAUAUGCAGCCGUAGAAAUUUCCCAACACUAUAGAGAUGCAAUAGUCUACUGUACUGUACAUAGUUCACCACACACGAAACGAACUAAUAACCCAGACUUUCAAUGGAAACAAUGAUCAUGCAGAGACUUGCUAACACACAAAAUCGAAGAAGGUAAUUAAUUUGCACUAUACAAAUAUCAAUUUACAUAUCAAACUUACAGAUGUGAAACACAAGAUCAUAACAUUAUCUUAUGCACUUAGAGAUGUCAUUUACGGCUUAAGAUUGUUAGAAAUAUUGUGUUAGAAAUCAUAUAUAAUAAAUAUAAUCAAAUAAUCAAAUCAAGUAUGCAUGUCAUAUAAUCAUAAAUAAUAUAAAGAAGGGGAUUGAAGAGUUUCUCAUGGAAUCUACAAGGGAGGCACAUGAAGGUUGUCCUUAAGCCGUAGACGCCUCCCCACGUGCGGGUUAUGACGGUCGUCUACAAACUCCAUGAUACAACUUUUGUAGUCGCACAUGAUGUUUAGUCUGUUUUGCAUGACUAACGGUAGACAGAGUGUCAUGUACUUACCAAAUUGCCCAAAACAUAAGAAAUAAGAAUAGAAUGAGGAAGAUAAAGAGUAAGAGUAUAAGAGCAAUAUAGAAUACUUUUUCUCUUUUUAAGAGCUAAGCAUUUAUAGAAUUAUGAGUUUUGAAUCUUAUUUUGAAUAAAAAACCAGCAGCAGGAUGGUUCCAAAGCGCACGUCCGUGAUUUUACAAAAGUGCACAUGAAACAUUAUCAACUGUUUAUUAGUUUAAAUGAAAAACAACGGCUUAGAUGAAGUCUCUUAAAACCCAUAACUGGUCAAAUAGUUAGGAACGUGAACUCAACUUGAUCUUUAGUCUCCUUCUCUCUCUCAACGAUCUUGUCUCAUACUUCACCACUCAAAAUCUUUGUCUUCUGAUUCAUGUAUUCUGAUCCAUUGAUGAUUGAACUCUACUCAGUUGCACAGUUCUUGCAAUCAAAGCUUUCUUUUUC
RNAcentral lists this long non-coding RNA (2560 nucleotides) under Fragaria vesca (wild strawberry). RNAcentral's name for it is "long non-coding RNA (FVES_LNC001961)". The record is from RNAcentral. Lineage: Eukaryota; Viridiplantae; Streptophyta; Magnoliopsida; Rosales; Rosaceae.